This 253-nucleotide ribosomal RNA is filed under the name uncultured bacterium. Its description in RNAcentral is "partial 16S ribosomal RNA". It matches the Rfam family "Bacterial small subunit ribosomal RNA", at positions 524 to 776 of the family's 1533-position model. The record is from RNAcentral.
UACGUAGGGUGCAAGCGUUGUCCGGAAUUAUUGGGCGUAAAGAGCUCGUAGGCGGCCUGUCGCGUCGGCUGUGAAAACCCGGGGCUCAACCCCGGGCCUGCAGUCGAUACGAGCAAACUAGAGUGUUGCAGGGGAGACUGGAAUUCCUGGUGUAGCGGUGAAAUGCGCAGAUAUCAGGAGGAACACCGGUGGCGAAGGCGGGUCUCUGGGCAACAACUGACGCUGAGGAGCGAAAGCGUGGGGAGCGAACAGG